Molecule: transfer RNA, 74 nt
Filed under: Phytoactinopolyspora halotolerans
Lineage: Bacteria; Bacillati; Actinomycetota; Actinomycetes; Jiangellales; Jiangellaceae
Rfam family: tRNA
About the family: Transfer RNA (tRNA) molecules are approximately 80 nucleotides in length. Their secondary structure includes four short double-helical elements and three loops (D, anti-codon, and T loops).
Source: Rfam by way of RNAcentral
CGGGGCUUGGCGCAGUUUGGUAGCGCGCUUCGUUCGGGACGAAGAGGUCGUGGGUUCAAAUCCCGCAGCCCCGA